RNAcentral lists this ribosomal RNA (487 nucleotides) under uncultured bacterium. RNAcentral describes it as "bacterial SSU rRNA". It matches the Rfam family "Bacterial small subunit ribosomal RNA", at positions 30 to 514 of the family's 1533-position model. The record is from RNAcentral.
AUUGAACGCUGGCGGCAUGCCUAACACAUGCAAGUCGAACGGAGGUAGGGGCAACUCUACUUCAGUGGCGGACGGGUGAGGAAUGCGUCGGAAUCUACCCUAUGGUGGGGGAUAACACAGGGAAACUUGUGCUAAUACCGCAUAAUGUCGAGAGACCAAAGCAGGGGACCGCAAGGCCUUGCGCGAUAGGAUGAGCCGACGCCCGAUUAGCUAGUUGGUAGGGUAAAGGCCUACCAAGGCGACGAUCGGUAGCUGGUCUGAGAGGAUGAUCAGCCACACUGGGACUGAGACACGGCCCAGACUCCUACGGGAGGCAGCAGUGGGGAAUAUUGGACAAUGGGCGCAAGCCUGAUCCAGCAAUGCCGCGUGUGUGAAGAAGGCCUGCGGGUUGUAAAGCACUUUUGUUCGGGAAGAAAUCAUGCUGGUUAAUACCUGGUAUGGAUGACGGUACCGAAAGAAUAAGCACCGGCUAACUUCGUGCCAGCAG